RNAcentral lists this ribosomal RNA (226 nucleotides) under uncultured eukaryote. Its description in RNAcentral is "partial small subunit ribosomal RNA". It matches the Rfam family "Eukaryotic small subunit ribosomal RNA", at positions 1208 to 1456 of the family's 1831-position model. The record is from RNAcentral.
GGAAAACUUACCAGGUCCAGACACAGUGAGGAUUGACAGAUUGAUGAUCUUUCUUGAUUCUGUGGGUGGUGGUGCAUGGCCGUUCUUAGUUGGUGGAGUGAUUUGUCUGGUUAAUUCCGUUAACGAACGAGACCUCGACCUGCUAACUAGUAUGCAGUAGUUUAACUACGGGUAUACUUCUUAGAGGGACACUUGGUGUGUAGCCAAUGGAAGUUCGAGGCAAUAA